This 72-nucleotide transfer RNA is filed under the name Schistosoma mansoni. Lineage: Eukaryota; Metazoa; Platyhelminthes; Trematoda; Strigeidida; Schistosomatidae. The record is from RNAcentral.
GGGUUCGUGGACGCGCACUGCUGAGGAGUCCCAUAAUAGGACGAAACGGCCGUCCAGUGCUUCCAGGUUUUC